ACAAAACACCUCUCGAUACCUCUACCACUCUCCCUCUCCUAUCUUUUUUUUUUUCUCUCCAAAUCUCCAAACUCUCAUCACAUCCUUCCUUUCUCUUUCCCAUUCCAUGUUCCUUUUUUUAUAAUUCCAAGUUCUUCUCUUUCCUCUCAUUCUUUCCUUCAAUUGCUAACAUAUUUCCUUAGAAUCUCUUGAAACUUCAAAACCUACAGAUGAUUGAAGAACCACCACAAGUGCACAUUUGUAGGUGGAAAAUGUACUUCUCGUGAAAUGGUGGAGUCUCAUUACUUGAUUUAAGGUCAUCAUCGAAUCUGGUUUUGUUUCUUUUAACGUUUACAAGUGAUUUUUCCUUUCCUCUUGAUUUUAUUUUUCUUGCUAGCUUGUAAAGAUCACCAGAUUUCAAUUUCCACUUAAAUGUUACCAGUAGUAUAUGUGUGUUCCAAACAUUUGUACUUUUAAAAUGUUUCAUUAUCCCUCUUACGAGAGUAAUCUUGCAGCAAUCUUUGAAUCAAUUUUGCAAAGGGGGGCUUCCAAAUUAGCUAUUUCGUUCUUCUAGAGUGAGUACGAUUCGGAUGUUUUGUACUAAUUUUAGGGUUUCUUUUAUAUAUAGUCUCUCUUUCCCAUAUGGAUUAAGUUUCACUGUUCGUAAAUGUUGGAGCAAUUUUCUCAUUUGACUUCACCAUUGAUUAGAUUUGGUAAUGUUGGAAUUAAGGAGGCUGUUAGAGAUGUUAACUCCAACUUCACUUGCCUUGUAAGGACGAAACUUCUUAUUGAGAUGCAGAGUUCAAAUCACAGUGGAAUGGUUAGGAUGGUUGGAAGUGGUUUUUUAUAGUUGUUUUUCCGAAGAUUUCUUUUUAGACAUUUUUCAUUCUCCUAUUAUAUUAUUUUAUAUGCUAAGAAAAUCUUUGGGGGGAAAAAAGAAGAUAGAUUUUCCUUGGUACUUUAAUCCUUAAUGCAGAGAAUAUAACCGUCAUUUAAUUGCUGAAAAGGUUGUCUGUUCAUCUUACUUUCAGGAUCAUGAUGGUACACUUACUUCCAUCGUUGAAGACUUGACCUUACUUGGUUUCAUUUCCAGUGAGGUUUCUUCUCCUUCAUUUUUCUUUUUGAAAAAUUUUUAGUUUCCAAAGGUUAGAUUUAAUCUUAAUGAAUUUAUUGCUUUUUUUUAUUUAAAUUAGAUGAGAGGAGCUUUGCAAGACAUUUCUUAUCAUUUUGUUGUUGCAAUAGUUAUUGGAAAAUGCAGAGCCAAGGUACAUUCAUGUAAAAAAAAUGAAUAUUCUGGAGUAUUUUCAAAGUGAGACUCAUUUUAGCUAAUGAAUUAUUAUGC
This 1321-nucleotide long non-coding RNA is filed under the name Coffea arabica (coffee). Its description in RNAcentral is "long non-coding RNA (CARA_LNC002196)". Lineage: Eukaryota; Viridiplantae; Streptophyta; Magnoliopsida; Gentianales; Rubiaceae. The record is from RNAcentral.